RNAcentral lists this ribosomal RNA (897 nucleotides) under uncultured beta proteobacterium. Its description in RNAcentral is "bacterial SSU rRNA". It matches the Rfam family "Bacterial small subunit ribosomal RNA", at positions 28 to 927 of the family's 1533-position model. The record is from RNAcentral. Lineage: Bacteria; Pseudomonadati; Pseudomonadota; Betaproteobacteria.
AUUGAACGCUGGCGGCAUGCCUUACACAUGCAAGUCGAACGGUAGAGUAGCAAUACUUGAGAGUGGCGAACGGGUGAGUAAUAUAUCGGAACGUGCCCAGUCGUGGGGGAUAACGUAAAGAAAUUUACGCUAAUACCGCAUACGAUCUAAGGAUGAAAGCGGGGGACUCGCAAGAGCCUCGCGCGAUUGGAGCGGCUGAUAUCAGAUUAGGUUGUUGGUGAGGUAAAAGCUCACCAAGCCGACGAUCUGUAGCUGGUUUGAGAGAACGACCAGCCACACUGGGACUGAGACACGGCCCAGACUCCUACGGGAGGCAGCAGUGGGGAAUUUUGGACAAUGGGCGAAAGCCUGAUCCAGCAAUGCCGCGUGUGGGAAGAAGGCCUUCGGGUUGUAAACCACUUUUGUACGGAACGAAAAGGUCUGCCUUAAUACGGUGGGCCCAUGACGGUACCGUAAGAAUAAGCACCGGCUAACUACGUGCCAUCAGCCGCGGUAAUACGUAGGGUGCGAGCGUUAAUCGGAAUUACUGGGCGUAAAGCGUGCGCAGGCGGUUAUAUAAGACAGUUGUGAAAUCCCCGGGCUCAACCUGGGAAUCGCAUCUGUGACUGUAUAGCUAGAGUACGGUAUAGGGGGAUGGAAUUCCGCGUGUAGCACUGAAAUGCGUAGAUAUGCGGAGGAACACCGAUGGCGAAGGCAAUCCCCUGGAUCUGUACUGACGCUCAUGCACGAAAGCGUGGGGAGCAAACAGGAUUAGAUACCCUGGUAGUCCACGCCCUAAACGAUGUCAACUGGAUGUUGGGUGCAUUAGUACUCAGUAACGAAGCUAACGCGUGAAGUUGACCGACUGGGGAGUACGGCCGCAAGGUUGAAACUCAAGGAAUUGACGGGACCCGCACA